Molecule: ribosomal RNA, 250 nt
Filed under: uncultured bacterium
Lineage: Bacteria
Description: partial 16S ribosomal RNA
Rfam family: Bacterial small subunit ribosomal RNA
Source: RNAcentral
UACAGAGACUGCAAGCGUUAUUCGGAUUCACUGGGCGUAAAGGGUGCGCAGGCGGUUGCGUGUGUUAGGUGUGAAAGCCCGAGGCUUAACUUCGGAAUUGCGCCUAAAACUACGUGACUAGAGCAUUGGAGAGGGUAGCGGAAUUCAUGGUGUAGCAGUGAAAUGCGUAGAUAUCAUGAGGAACACCAGAGGCGAAGGCGGCUACCUGGACAAUUGCUGACGCUCAGGCACGAAAGCGUGGGGAGCAAAA